RNAcentral lists this ribosomal RNA (450 nucleotides) under uncultured Gammaproteobacteria bacterium. Its description in RNAcentral is "bacterial SSU rRNA". It matches the Rfam family "Bacterial small subunit ribosomal RNA", at positions 1052 to 1501 of the family's 1533-position model. The record is from RNAcentral. Lineage: Bacteria; Pseudomonadati; Pseudomonadota; Gammaproteobacteria.
UCGUCAGCUCGUGUCGUGAGAUGUUGGGUUAAGUCCCGCAACGAGCGCAACCCUUGUCCUCAGUUACCAGCACGUUAUGGUGGGCACUCUGGGGAGACUGCCGGUGACAAACCGGAGGAAGGUGGNGACGACGUCAAGUCAUCAUGGCCCUUACGGCCAGGGCUACACACGUGCUACAAUGGUGCAUACAGACGGUUGCCAAGCUGUGAAGUGGAGCUAAUCUGAGAAAGUGCAUCGUAGUCCGGAUUGGAGUCUGCAACUCGACUCCAUGAAGUCGGAAUCGCUAGUAAUCGUGAAUCAGAAUGUCACGGUGAAUACGUUCCCGGGCCUUGUACACACCGCCCGUCACACCAUGGGAGUGGGUUGCUCCAGAAGUGGUUAGCCUAACCUUCGGGAGGGCGAUCACCACGGAGUGAUUCAUGACUGGGGUGAAGUCGUAACAAGGUAGCA